Molecule: small RNA, 991 nt
Filed under: Pongo abelii (Sumatran orangutan)
Lineage: Eukaryota; Metazoa; Chordata; Mammalia; Primates; Hominidae
Description: retained intron
Source: RNAcentral
GGAAGCGGAAGAGCAGGUCUCCAGGGGAGCGAUGGCAGCCGGUGGUCUGAGUCGCUCCGAGCGCAAAGCGGCUGAGCGGGUCCGGAGGUUGCGGGAGGAGCAGCAGAGGGAGCGCCUCCGCCAGGUACGCCGCCGCCGCUCCCCGGCCCGGCCAUGCCCGGCCCGCGCCGCCGCUCACCGCCUGCCUGCCCGCAGGUGUCGCGCAUCCUGAGGAAGGCGGCGGCGGAGCGCAGCGCCGAGGAGGGCCGGCUGCUGGCCGAGAGCGCGGACCUGGUAACGGAGCUGCAGGGCCGGAGCCGGCGGCGCGAGGGCUUGAAGCGGCGGCAGGAGGAGGUGUGCGACGACCCGGAGGAGCUGCGGGGGAAGGUCCGGGAGCUGGCCAGCGCCGUCCGGAACGCCAAAUACCUGGUCGUCUACACAGGCGCGGGAAUCAGCACGGCAGCGUCUAUCCCAGACUACCGGGGCCCUAAUGGAGUGUGGACACUGCUUCAGAAAGGGAGAAGCGUUAGUGCUGCGGACCUGAGUGAGGCCGAGCCAACCCUCACCCACAUGAGCAUCACCCGUUUGCAUGAGCAGAAACUGGUGCAGCAUGUGGUGUCUCAGAACUGUGACGGGCUCCACCUGAGGAGUGGGCUGCCGCGCACGGCCAUCUCCGAGCUCCACGGGAACAUGUACAUUGAAGUGAGCAGUCCUGCAGGGACCCGGGGUCUCCACGGGCAGGCGGGUCCCACUCACUGUGCCCUCUUGCCUCUAGGUCUGUACCUCCUGCGUUCCCAACAGGGAGUACGUGCGGGUGUUUGAUGUGACAGAGCGCACCGCCCUCCACAGACACCAGACAGGCCGGACCUGCCACAAGUGUGGGACCCAGCUGCGGGACACCAUUGUGCACUUUGGGGAGAGGGGGACGUUGGGGCAGCCUCUGAACUGGGAAGCGGCGACCGAGGCUGCCAGCAGAGCAGACACCAUCCUGUGUCUAGGGUCCAGCCUGAAG